Molecule: ribosomal RNA, 1373 nt
Filed under: uncultured bacterium
Lineage: Bacteria
Description: bacterial SSU rRNA
Rfam family: Bacterial small subunit ribosomal RNA
Source: RNAcentral
GAUGAACGCUGGCGGCGUGCCUAAUACAUGCAAGUCGAGCGAACAGAUAAGGAGCUUGCUCCUUUGACGUUAGCGGCGGACGGGUGAGUAACACGUGGGUAACCUACCUAUAAGACUGGGAUAACUUCGGGAAACCGGAGCUAAUACCGGAUAAUAUUUCGAACCGCAUGGUUCGAUAGUGAAAGAUGGUUUUGCUAUCACUUAUAGAUGGACCCGCGCCGUAUUAGCUAGUUGGUAAGGUAACGGCUUACCAAGGCGACGAUACGUAGCCGACCUGAGAGGGUGAUCGGCCACACUGGAACUGAGACACGGUCCAGACUCCUACGGGAGGCAGCAGUAGGGAAUCUUCCGCAAUGGGCGAAAGCCUGACGGAGCAACGCCGCGUGAGUGAUGAAGGUCUUCGGAUCGUAAAACUCUGUUAUUAGGGAAGAACAUACGUGUAAGUAACUGUGCACGUCUUGACGGUACCUAAUCAGAAAGCCACGGCUAACUACGUGCCAGCAGCCGCGGUAAUACGUAGGUGGCAAGCGUUAUCCGGAAUUAUUGGGCGUAAAGCGCGCGUAGGCGGUUUUUUAAGUCUGAUGUGAAAGCCCACGGCUCAACCGUGGAGGGUCAUUGGAAACUGGAAAACUUGAGUGCAGAAGAGGAAAGUGGAAUUCCAUGUGUAGCGGUGAAAUGCGCAGAGAUAUGGAGGAACACCAGUGGCGAAGGCGACUUGUCUGGUCUGUAACUGACGCUGAUGUGCGAAAGCGUGGGGAUCAAACAGGAUUAGAUACCCUGGUAGUCCACGCCGUAAACGAUGAGUGCUAAGUGUUAGGGGGUUUCCGCCCCUUAGUGCUGCAGCUAACGCAUUAAGCACUCCGCCUGGGGAGUACGACCGCAAGGUUGAAACUCAAAGGAAUUGACGGGGACCCGCACAAGCGGUGGAGCAUGUGGUUUAAUUCGAAGCAACGCGAAGAACCUUACCAAAUCUUGACAUCCUUUGACAACUCUAGAGAUAGAGCUUUCCCCUUCGGGGGACAAAGUGACAGGUGGUGCAUGGUUGUCGUCAGCUCGUGUCGUGAGGUGUUGGGUUAAGUCCCGCAACGAGCGCAACCCUUAAGCUUAGUUACCAUCAUUAAGUUGGGCACUCUAAGUUGACUGCCGGUGACAAACCGGAGGAAGGUGGGGAUGACGUCAAAUCAUCAUGCCCCUUAUGAUUUGGGCUACACACGUGCUACAAUGGACAAUACAAAGGGCAGCGAAACCGCGAGGUCAAGCAAAUCCCAUAAAGUUGUUCUCAGUUCGGAUUGUAGUCUGCAACUCGACUACAUGAAGUUGGAAUCGCUAGUAAUCGUAGAUCAGCAUGCUACGGUGAAUACGUUCCCGGGUCU